ACUUCAACCAAAUGUGUACUACAUCUUCGAACCCUAUAUAUCAUUAUUACGCGUGAAGAGAUAGAACACGUUCAUCACUUCAAUCAAUACACUAUUAUUUAUAAAAAUAUCUAUCUAAUCUUUCUAAAUCUCUUUGGUUUCUCCGUAGAUAUGAUCCGCCUUCUCUCACAAUCUCCCUGUUUUAUCCGUCAGAACCCUUGCUAAGAAAUUAUCCCCAAUCCAUCUCAUCUCUUUGAUUUCUCCGACAGAACCCUUGUUCCGAAAAAAUCUCCCGUCUAUCGAAUACGAGAUCAACUCUCUGUCGAAAUCCUUUCUCCAAAAUAAUAUCACAUCCGCCGGGUCCUAUUCUUCAUUCACACCAUUCUUGAUUGUCUCCAUUACGAUUGUCUUGAUAUCAUCUAAUCUCCUGUUGGCAAAUAUGGAGACCAUUGAGUUAGCAUCUCGGAUUUUUGCUGCUGGAGAGGAACCAGUAUAAAGGAAAGCGACGAUAUAUCGUUGUCUCAAAGCACCAUAGCUCUGUCCGGUUACGUCCAGUCCCUCCAGAUGGUCAUGACAAAAGUCGUACCUGCUCUCACUGAAGUUGUAUGGCAAGACUCUGCAACCGAUGUAGCUGGUGCUGAGGAUGAUGAUUUUUCAUAUACCCCCCCUAGUAAUGGUAUCAAGCCAGCACACACAAGGACGUUGGAUACUGCUAAAAGUUUGUAUAGAUACGUAUGACUUCUAUCAUCCCGCAUGAGGGUGACUUUGAGGUCGACGAAGCGUAGCUGUGUUUCUCUGAAUAAUUGAUCGAAAGCACCCGAACAGGAUACCUCCUGACAUUUAUCUUUAUUCCAUCAGACAUUUAUAUACUUAGCCGUCAAAUGUAUAAGUUAUCCUACAAACAGAUAUGUUGUGAUGUCGUCAACAUUGUGUAAAAUAAUCGGAUUCAUCAUCAUUUAUCCGUUAUAGGUCAAGUUAGCCUUCUAUUCCAAAUAAAAAUUAUGUGUCCAAGUGUCUUCAUUUUUAAGAGUAAUCUAACUAGGACCUACGUAUGUUCACUAAUUCUCGCACAACGAACCAUAAGCUGCUAAAUAAUUUUCGAUUUGACCUUCUUCAUGUAUUAACUUCUGAUGAAACGGAAAGGCUGAAAAGAUUUUCAGAGAGCCAUUAAAGACGAUUCAAUUUUGGAAAGUGAUAGCUAAGACUCCGAAUGGUAACAGCGGGUUGGGCGGUGCGGGACAAGCUGAUUGAUUAGUGCGGUGCGGUUUAAGAGCGGUUUGUGUUAGAAAAACGCAUACUGCAGGACAAGUGUGAUUCAUCUAAUAAAAGCGGUUUAAGAAAUAUGUGAAUGGUGACCAAAAUAAUAAAAAGUGCGGGACAAAUGUUUGAAUGGUGUUUAACUGUGGUUUGUAUAAGAGAAACUUAAUAAAAUUAAUUAAAUUUGUUAUUUAAAAUAGAAAACGUAAAAGUUUAUA
Brassica oleracea var. oleracea is the source of this 1454-nucleotide long non-coding RNA. RefSeq lists it as uncharacterized. Lineage: Eukaryota; Viridiplantae; Streptophyta; Magnoliopsida; Brassicales; Brassicaceae. The record is from RefSeq and is a predicted model, not a curated record. The transcript has 3 exons.